ACGAUGAUGAGACCAUAGACUCUGCGUAUCUGACUGCUGGAUGAAACACAAUCUGCUGAAC
This 61-nucleotide small nucleolar RNA is filed under the name Euglena gracilis. RNAcentral's name for it is "Eg-m146 box C/D methylation-guide". Lineage: Eukaryota; Euglenozoa; Euglenophyceae; Euglenales; Euglenaceae. The record is from RNAcentral.